CGGGUGGAGGAAUGGGCGUUCAAUUGGAGGGCAAGGGCGGCGUUGGAAGCGAGGGAGUGAGCGUGGAGGUGAGGAAGGCGUUGGGAGAUGUCGCUCGGAGGGAUUCUGAGCCGUAGAUCAUGGAUCAAAUGGCUGAGAGAAGCCGCUUUUGAAUCCAAGUCCAGGGCUUACUUUUGCUGCUCCGGUGUGAAUAUCAGUGGGAUUGAAUUGGGAUUGUCGUCUUCGUCGCCUUGAUCGCCGCCGACUCCGACUACGUCCACCGCC
This 264-nucleotide long non-coding RNA is filed under the name Rosa chinensis. RNAcentral describes it as "sRNA RchiOBHm_Chr2g0163601". The record is from RNAcentral. Lineage: Eukaryota; Viridiplantae; Streptophyta; Magnoliopsida; Rosales; Rosaceae.